UCGAAUCUCAGUUCGGUGAUGCUCAAGCUCAAGGAGAGUGCCUAAGGGUGAAUUCUUCAAAACAAAAUACUGGUACGAAUCUUUCUCCGCCUGCGCAUGAUUUCCGGAUCCAUUCCUCAUCAAGUUUCCGAUCACCAUGUCGAGAUAUUUGAUGCUGGGAAAUGUAACGAACACAGUACGUUCGCUCAUUACGAGCCAAAGACAGGCAUGUAGAAGCAAGGAAGAGCGGGGAUUGUUGCAGUAGGGCCUCUCUUUCGAAAUAAAUUUCUCACAUUGCAGUUUUUUAUCCUGAGGACAUAAUUCUUCCCCCAUCGAACUGCACGAGGAGAAGAUUUUCAUCCAUCUUACCUUAAAAACUAAAAAAAUGUGAUGUGUAUUGUUGAGUUAGUCGGGUCAACUUGACCAAACAAAUGUUAACCUGUGGACUCGAAUGCUCAGUUUUCCAAAAAUUCAACAAAAAAAAAAAAA
Molecule: long non-coding RNA, 468 nt
Organism: Cucurbita pepo subsp. pepo (vegetable marrow)
Lineage: Eukaryota; Viridiplantae; Streptophyta; Magnoliopsida; Cucurbitales; Cucurbitaceae
Source: RefSeq, a predicted model, not a curated record